CCUACGGGAGGCAGCAGUGAGGAAUAUUGGUCAAUGGCCGGAAGGCUGAACCAGCCAAGCCGCGUGAAGGACGAAGGUGCCAAGCAUUGUAAACUUCUUUUGUCAAGGGACAAAAUCAGGCUCGAGAGCCUGACCGAGGGUACUUGAAGAAAAAGCAUCGGCUAACUCCGUGCCAGCAGCCGCGGUAAUACGGAGGAUGCGAGCGUUAUCCGGAUUUAUUGGGUUUAAAGGGUGCGUAGGCGGGCUGUUAAGUCAGCGGUAAAAGCCCGGGGCUCAACCCCGGCAAGCCGUUGAAACUGGCUGUCGUGAGAUGUCGAGAGGUAUGCGGAAUGCGCAGUGUAGCGGUGAAAUGCUUAGAUAUUGCGCAGAACUCCGAUUGCGAAGGCAGCAUACCGGCGGCGAUCUGACGCUGAGGCACGAAAGCGUGGGUAUCGAACAGGAUUAGAUACCCGGGUAGUC
This 459-nucleotide ribosomal RNA is filed under the name uncultured bacterium. Its description in RNAcentral is "partial 16S ribosomal RNA". It matches the Rfam family "Bacterial small subunit ribosomal RNA", at positions 338 to 795 of the family's 1533-position model. The record is from RNAcentral.